GAUGAAGAACGUAGCGAAAUGCGAUAAGUAAUGUGAAUUGCAGAAUUCAGUGAAUCAUCGAAUCUUUGAACGCACCUUGCGCUCCUUGGUAUUCCGAGGAGCAUGCCUGUUUGUGUGUCAUGAAAUUCUCAACCUUUCUGGCUUUUGCUAGUCAGGCUUGGAUUAUGGGAGCUGCUGGCUUUUGAAGUCGGCUCUUCUAAAAUGUAUUAGCAAGAUCAUUGCUGCUCAUCAUUGGUAUGAUAAUUAUCUAUAUCAUUGAGAGUCAGUUUCCUUUAUUGGAAGAUUUUGCUCCUAACGGUCUUUAGCAAGACAACAUUUGACGAUUUUGACCUCAAAUCAGGUAGGACUACCCGCUGAACUUAAGCAUAUCAAUAAGCGGAGGA
Molecule: unclassified non-coding RNA, 383 nt
Filed under: soil metagenome
Description: partial contains 5.8S ribosomal RNA, internal transcribed spacer 2, and large subunit ribosomal RNA
Rfam family: 5.8S ribosomal RNA (bases 1-120)
Source: RNAcentral